Molecule: unclassified non-coding RNA, 252 nt
Filed under: Hevea brasiliensis (rubber tree)
Lineage: Eukaryota; Viridiplantae; Streptophyta; Magnoliopsida; Malpighiales; Euphorbiaceae
Source: RNAcentral
CAUGUAAGUAGCAAAUCUCUCAUAAUUUGCUUAUUGAUUUAUGGUCCUUUGACAUUUCAGUAACAUUUCUAGAAUCUUUUAAACACUUCUAAUAAAAUGCCAUGUUCCUGAAGCAUAACACACAACUUCUCACUUUCCCACUUCAUUUACAUAAUUCUAAAUUAUUUCCAGUGAAACUCUAUUUCAUGUGUUCCAUAUGUCUUUUAGAUGAUGUCUCCUGCUUCAGCUACCAAUAUAUACACAUCUAUUCAC